RNAcentral lists this ribosomal RNA (426 nucleotides) under uncultured bacterium. RNAcentral's name for it is "bacterial SSU rRNA". It matches the Rfam family "Bacterial small subunit ribosomal RNA", at positions 355 to 774 of the family's 1533-position model. The record is from RNAcentral.
UGGGGAAUCUUGCGCAAUGGGCGAAAGCCUGACGCAGCGACGCCGCGUGAGUGAUGAAGGCCUUCGGGUUGUAAGGCUCUGUGGGGCGAGACGAAUAAGUGCAGCCUAAUACGUUGCAUGAUGACGGUAUCGCCUUAGCAAGCACCGGCUAACUCUGUGCCAGCAGCCGCGGUAAGACAGAGGGUGCAAACGUUGUUCGGAAUUACUGGGCGUAAAGCGAGUGUAGGCGGUCUGCUAAGUCGGGUGUGAAAGCCCCGGGCUCAACCCGGGAAGUGCACUCGAAACUGGCAGGCUAGAGUAUCGGAGAGGUUGGUGGAAUUCUCGGUGUAGAGGUGAAAUUCGUAGAUAUCGAGAGGAACACCGGUGGCGAAGGCGGCCAACUGGACGAAUACUGACGCUGAGACUCGAAAGCGUGGGGAGCAAACA